AUUGAACGCUGGCGGCAUGCUUUACACAUGCAAGUCGAACGGUAACAGGUCUUUCGGGAUGCUGACGAGUGGCGAACGGGUGAGUAAUGUAUCGGAACGUGCCCAGUAGUGGGGGUUAACUACUCGAAAGAGUGGCUAAUACCGCAUGAGAUCUCUGGAUGAAAGCGGGGGACCGUAAGGCCUCGCGCUACUGGAGCGGCCGAUAUCAGAUUAGGUUGUUGGUGAGGUAAAGGCUCACCAAGCCGACGAUCUGUAGCGGGUCUGAGAGGAUGAUCCGCCACACUGGAACUGCGACACGGUCCAGACUCCUACGGGAGGCAGCAGUGGGGGAAUUUUGGACAAUGGGCGCAAGCCUGAUCCAGCCAUGCCGCGUGAGUGAAGAAGGCCUUCGGUUGUAAG
This 399-nucleotide ribosomal RNA is filed under the name uncultured bacterium. RNAcentral describes it as "bacterial SSU rRNA". It matches the Rfam family "Bacterial small subunit ribosomal RNA", at positions 30 to 429 of the family's 1533-position model. The record is from RNAcentral.